GUGAGAAGGUGCUGUGGUACCCGCCGUGCUGAGGCGCUUCCCUGUGCGAGCACACUGAGUUUGCUUAGGGUUGGCUUUGCUUUUUCCUUCUCUGUGGAGGGGAAAAGAGUGGAAGGCUACAAAGUCCAAAGGCAGUGAGGUGCCAGAACGUGUAACCCUGUCUCUUCCCGUUAACUCUAUGGCAGUCUUCUGCACGCCUCCUGGAAAUGUCAUUCACUGGGAGGCUUCCUAGUCCCAUUUCCUCUGUCUUUUUGCUGCCUUCUGCUUGUACGGCAUGUAUGUUUCUGCCAUUUCACUGUAGACAAAAUGCAUUCAUCUAUUUUUCUUGCCUUACAGAAAGAAGACGACAACGAAAAGAGAGGAGAGUGGAGCUGAAGAAGGCUGCCCUCAGAGCUGCCGCUGCACGUGCAGAGGUGAGUCCUUGGUGAACGCAGACACGGCUCUUGUUGUUCUCAGGGCCUCUGUCUGUCACACAUGAAAGGAAGAGACUGUAAAAUCCCGAGGGAAGUGGUGUCCUGUUUCUACCCUCGCUCCGUUUCUUCCCAGGCCUCCGCAGUGGACAGCCUUGUGGAGAUGAUGCAGAAGCUGCAGCUGAGGGACUGAGAGGAGGAGCGUCAGCAGGCAGCAGCUUCUGCAGUGCGUGGCGUUACAGGGCAGCGCUGAGUGCCGCCCAUCUCAGCACUCCACCUUCAAACGUAGUCAAUAAAAACCAGUCAAAUUUAUAGAUUCACAGAGAGCGCACGGCCUGAUUUGUCCAGCGGCACUCGGAGAGCUGCUGCACCACCUCCUCGUUAUUGGUCUCGCGGCGCUCGCUCAGAACUGCCACAGCUCCGUCAGCGAAUGCUGCCGUCCAGUGUUGCAACAAAGGCAGCAGUCCUUUGCACUGCCCACAGACAGACUGUCUGC
RNAcentral lists this long non-coding RNA (906 nucleotides) under Gallus gallus (chicken). Its description in RNAcentral is "lncRNA (ENSGALG00010029074.1)". Lineage: Eukaryota; Metazoa; Chordata; Aves; Galliformes; Phasianidae. The record is from RNAcentral.